Molecule: long non-coding RNA, 915 nt
Filed under: Homo sapiens (human)
Lineage: Eukaryota; Metazoa; Chordata; Mammalia; Primates; Hominidae
Description: HSALNT0280551
Source: RNAcentral
AAACUCCUCUUUGAUUCUUCUAGCUGUUUCACUAUUGGGCAACCAGCGGAGGCUCGCUCUGUCACCCAGGCUGGAGUGCAGUGGCAUCGCACUCACUGCAACCUCCGCCUCCCGGGUUCAAGCGAUUCUCCUGCCUCGGUCUUCCAAGUAGAUGGGACUAUAGGCACGCACCACCACGCCUGGCUAAUUUUUGUAUAGAGACAGGGUCUCACCAUGUUGGCCAGGCUUCCAUGGUCUCGAACUCCUGACUUCAAGUGAUCCACCCUCCUUGGCCUCCCAAAGUGCUGGGAUUACAGGCAUGAGCUACCGUGCCUGGCCUAAGAUGCUUAUUUUUUAAACAUGUUAGUAGUUACUGGUGCCAUUCCGACCCCGACAUUCUCUUUUCCUUAUUCUUCCCCAUUUAUGCCAAGGAAAUGGCCCAAUGGCACUAAAAUCCUGCAGACAACCCUCAGCACAAAACUGUACUUCAGCUUUUUGGUAAGUUUAUUUUCUUCCCAAUUUAUAAGACACCAGAAUGAGUACUAAAAAGUCUCCUGAGGAACUGAAGAGGAUUUUUGAAAAAUAUGCAGCCAAAGAAGGUGAUCCAGACCAGUUGUCAAAGGAUGAACUGAAGCUAUUGAUUCAGGCUGAAUUCCCCAGUUUACUCAAAGGUCCAAACACCCUAGAUGAUCUCUUUCAAGAACUGGACAAGAAUGGAGAUGGAGAAGUUAGUUUUGAAGAAUUCCAAGUAUUAGUAAAAAAGAUAUCCCAGUGAAGGAGAAAACAAAAUAGAACCCUGAGCACUGGAGGAAGAGCGCCUGUGCUGUGGUCUUAUCCUAUGUGGAAUCCCCCAAAGUCUCUGGUUUAAUUCUUUGCAAUUAUAAUAACCUGGCUGUGAGGUUCAGUUAUUAUUAAUAAAGAAAUUAUUAGACAUAC